RNAcentral lists this ribosomal RNA (260 nucleotides) under uncultured bacterium. RNAcentral's name for it is "partial 16S ribosomal RNA". It matches the Rfam family "Bacterial small subunit ribosomal RNA", at positions 97 to 353 of the family's 1533-position model. The record is from RNAcentral.
GGCGAACGGGUGAGUAACGCGUGAGGAACCUGCCUCAAAGAGGGGGACAACAGUUGGAAACGACUGCUAAUACCGCAUAAGCCCACGGUGCCGCAUGGCACAGAGGGAAAAGGAGCAAUCCGCUUUGAGAUGGCCUCGCGUCCGAUUAGCUAGUUGGUGAGGUAACGGCCCACCAAGGCGACGAUCCAUAGCCGGCCUGAGAGGGUGAACGGCCACAUUGGGACUGAGACACGGCCCAAACUCCUACGGGAGGCAGCAUG